RNAcentral lists this ribosomal RNA (468 nucleotides) under uncultured bacterium. Its description in RNAcentral is "partial 16S ribosomal RNA". It matches the Rfam family "Bacterial small subunit ribosomal RNA", at positions 28 to 507 of the family's 1533-position model. The record is from RNAcentral.
GACGAACGCUGGCGGCGUGCCUAACACAUGCAAGUCGAACGGACAGGCCCUGCUCUUGUGGCGUGCACGAGUGCCGCACGGGUGUGUAACACGCGUGUAACAUGUACCUGUCUUUCGGAUAUAACUAGGAAACACCGGCUCAUACAGCAUAGGAGCUCUUGAUGCACGGGGGGCGAUGGUAAGAUUCGGUGGUUGGGGAUGGACUCGCGGCUUAUCAGCUUGUUGGUCGAGUAGUUGCUUACCAAGGCUUCGACGGAUAGCCGGCCUGGGAGGGUGACCGGCCACAAUGGGACUGAGAGACGGCCCAGACUCCUACGGGAGGCAGCAGUCGGGAGUAUGGCGCAAUGGGCGGAAGCCUGAUGCAGCAACGCCGCGUGCGUAAUGACGUCCUUCGGGUUGUAAACCGCUUUCGCCUGUGACGAAGCGGGAGUGACGGUAAUGGGUAAAGAAGCACCGGCUAACUACGUG